AGAGUUUGAUCAUGGCUCAGGACGAACGCUUGCGGCGUGCCUAAGAAAUGCAAGUCGAACGGAUGGCUUCGGCCAUUAGUGGCGAACGGUCGCGUAACACGUAAGCAACCUGCCCAGAAGUUGGGGACAACGGACCGAAAGGUCCGCUAAUACCGAAUGUGGUUUUUUGGUGGCAUCACCGAAUAACUAAAGCUUAAUGCGCUUCUGGAUGGGCUUGCGGCCUAUCAGAUAGUUGGUGGGGUAAUGGCCUACCAAGUCUAUGACGGGUAGCUGGUCUGAGAGGACGGCCAGCCGGAUUGGGACUGAGAUACGGCCCAGACUCCUACGGGGGGCAGCAAUUAGGAAUCUUGCACAAUGGGGGAAACCCUGAUGCAGCGACGUCGCGUGUGGGACGAAGGCCCUCGGGUCGUAAACCACUUUUGCCAGGGAAGAAAAAAAUGACGGUACCUGGUGAAUAAGCCCCGGCUAACUACGUGCCAGCAGCCGCGGUAAUACGUAGGGGGCGAGCGUUGUCCGAAGUUACUGGGCGUAAAGCGCGCGUAGGCGGCUUUUUAAGUUUGAGGUGAAAGGUUCAGCGCUCAACGUGAACAGUGCCUUGAAUACUGGGAAGCUUGAAUGUGACAGAGGGUCGUGGAAUUUCUGGUGUAGCGGUGAAAUGCGUAGAUAUCANNAAGGAACACCAAUGGCGAAGGCAGCGACCUGGGUUAACAUUGACGCUGAGGUGCGAAAGCGUGGGGAGCGAACGGGAUUAGAUACCCUAGUAGUCC
RNAcentral lists this ribosomal RNA (767 nucleotides) under uncultured bacterium. RNAcentral describes it as "bacterial SSU rRNA". It matches the Rfam family "Bacterial small subunit ribosomal RNA", at positions 8 to 796 of the family's 1533-position model. The record is from RNAcentral.